RNAcentral lists this ribosomal RNA (460 nucleotides) under uncultured bacterium. RNAcentral describes it as "partial 16S ribosomal RNA". It matches the Rfam family "Bacterial small subunit ribosomal RNA", at positions 338 to 795 of the family's 1533-position model. The record is from RNAcentral.
CCUACGGGCGGCAGCAGUGAGGAAUAUUGGUCAAUGGACGAGAGUCUGAACCAGCCAAGUAGCGUGAAGGAUGACUGCCCUAUGGGUUGUAAACUUCUUUUAUAUGGGAAUAAAAUGUUCCACGUGUGGGAUUUUGUAUGUACCAUAUGAAUAAGGAUCGGCUAACUCCGUGCCAGCAGCCGCGGUAAUACGGAGGAUCCGAUCGUUAUCCGGAUUUAUUGGGUUUAAAGGGAGCGUAGGUGGAUUGUUAAGUCAGUGGUGAAAGUUUGCGGCUCAACCGUAAAAUUGCAGUUGAAACUGGCAGUCUUGAGUACAGUAGAGGUGGGCGGAAUUCGUGGUGUAGCGGUGAAAUGCUUAGAUAUCACGAAGAACUCCGAUUGCGAAGGCAGUUCACUGGACUGCAACUGACACUGAGGCUCGAAAGUGUGGGUAUCAAACAGGAUUAGAUACCCGUGUAGUC